RNAcentral lists this ribosomal RNA (323 nucleotides) under uncultured eukaryote. RNAcentral describes it as "partial 18S ribosomal RNA". It matches the Rfam family "Eukaryotic small subunit ribosomal RNA", at positions 1470 to 1796 of the family's 1831-position model. The record is from RNAcentral.
CCCUUAGAUGUUCUGGGCCGCACGCGCGCUACACUGAUACAUGCAACGAGUUUAUAACCUUGAUCUGACGGUCUGGGUAAUCUUCAAACUGUAUCGUGUUAGGGAUCGAUUCUUGCAAUUUUUAAUCGUAAACGAGGAAUUCCUAGUAAACGCAAGUCAUCAGCUUGCAUUGAUUCCGUCCCUGCCCUUUGUACACACCGCCCGUCGACUCUACCGAUUGAAUGGUUCGGUGAAAACUUUGGACUGUGGCAUUGUCCUUCAUUGGACUUCGCCGUAGGAAAUUGUUUAAACCUCAUCAUUUAGAGGAAGAAUAAGUCGUAACA